UACAUUGGGUGCAAACGUUGCUCGGAAUUACUGGGCGUAAAGCGCACGUAGGCGGCUUUGUAAGUUAGAGGUGAAAGCCCAGGGCUCAACCCUGGAAUUGCCUUUAAGACUGCAUCGCUUGAACAUCGGAGAGGUAAGUGGAAUUCCGAGUGUAGAGGUGAAAUUCGUAGAUAUUCGGAAGAACACCAGUGGCGAAGGCGACUUACUGGACGAUUGUUGACGCUGAGGUGCGAAAGCGUGGGGAGCAAACAGG
Molecule: ribosomal RNA, 253 nt
Filed under: uncultured bacterium
Lineage: Bacteria
Description: partial 16S ribosomal RNA
Rfam family: Bacterial small subunit ribosomal RNA
Source: RNAcentral